CGCGUGAACGCGCGUACUCGACAAUUGAACGAGAAUGUCUCGCGCUAGUUUGGGCGAUCUCCAAAUUUCACAUAUAUUUGUAUGGCAGAGAGUUCGUAUUGGAGACAGACCAUCACCCAUUGUCAUACUUAACCAAAGCCAAGGUUAACAACAAUCGAGUGAUGAGGUGGGCCCUCAGCCUGCAACCAUAUAGGUUCAUCAUUAGAGCGAUUAAAGGUUCACAAAAUGUAGGACCAGACUUCCUCAGUAGAUGUACGAUGUAAAUACAUGUAGACACUAGUAUGUGACAAGUUCUGUAAAUUACUGAUUUCCAGAGAUGAUGAUAAAUGGUGUGUAUCAUCUUAAGUGAGGGGCUGAUGUCACAAAGUGUGAUUUAUAUUUUUAAAUAAUGUUUCAAUUUUUGUAUUUAUCAUUGUGUUUAUUAAUGUAAUUAAUUAUGGGAUUUUCACUUAUACAUUUAUUUUAGCACAAGUUAAUUUAAUUCUCCCCCAUCCAGAAUUGAGGCUACCCAGAGUGUACAGCAGAGCUAAAUCUUUCUUAUGCAAAUGACAGUAUGCAAAUUAAUGCCAUGGCUGAGUAAUUUUGUUAGGACUUGGAUGCCAUGUGCAUUCCCCAGGGCACUGCUAUUCUAGACUUCGCUGUGUGCAGUCCUGUGUGCAGUCCUGUGUGAGUACAUGUACAUGUACAUGUAUAUACAGUGGUACUGUGUGUACCAGGGCGUGGCCCAUGAUUUAAAAAGCCAGUUUAUCCUGCAAACUGGCUUUUCCCUGUGGGAAUAGUGAAUUCCUAGGUUCUUGGUGAACCAGAUAGCUUGUUCUGUGUGAACAACAGUAAGUCAACUCCCAAGACUAGCUCACGGUCUACCGAGAGAGUCAGGAGGAAGAUUCGGAACCGAGUCCUGUGUGGACCAGGCAUCGAGCCAGAUUCCAAGGCCCGGAGAGGUCACCCAAGUUCCCCAAGCCCGGAGUUCAUCCGCCUUAGUGGGAUCGUCAAAGCGCCGGAGGGAUGUUGUGUGUGUGACUGGUGCUCCAAAUCGACCACCCGUGUCACAAGUGUGAGCUUUGAACACAGCAAGUCCUUCAAAAGGUUUUGAACAGUGACUGUUUAGGGGGGUGAUUGCAUUUGUUUUGGGGUAUUGGAAACGGCCGUAUAACACAUAAUACAGGAUCCUUAUAAUGCCAUGAUAUAGUUGAGUAUCCGUCACUCAAAGUAUAAGUAAUUCAUAUAGUGGCAUAAUUCAAUUGAAAUAAUUUGUACAUAGUAAAUUUCCGUUUGUUUAAUAUAUUUAUUUGUCGUAAUUAAAUAGUAUUUUGUCUUGAUCAUACA
Molecule: long non-coding RNA, 1326 nt
Organism: Patiria miniata (bat star)
Lineage: Eukaryota; Metazoa; Echinodermata; Asteroidea; Valvatida; Asterinidae
Exons: 2
Source: RefSeq, a predicted model, not a curated record